RNAcentral lists this ribosomal RNA (440 nucleotides) under uncultured bacterium. Its description in RNAcentral is "partial 16S ribosomal RNA". It matches the Rfam family "Bacterial small subunit ribosomal RNA", at positions 338 to 795 of the family's 1533-position model. The record is from RNAcentral.
CCUACGGGAGGCUGCAGUGGGGGAUAUUGCACAAUGGGGGAAACCCUGAUGCAGCGACGCCGCGUGGGUGAAGAAGCGCCUCGGCGCGUAAAGCCCUGUCAGCAGGGAAGAAAAUGACGGUACCUGAAGACGACUCCCCGGCUCCCUACGUUCCAGCAGCCGCGGUAAUACGUAGGGGGCAAGCGUUAUCCGGAUUUACUGGGUGUAAAGGGGGCGCAGACGGCGAUGCAGGACAGGAGUGAAAGCCCGGGGCCCAACCCCGGAACUGCUCUUGGAACUGCGGGGCUAGAGUGCAGGAGGGGCAGGCGGAAUUCAUGGUGUAGCGGUGAAAUGCGUAGAUAUCAGGAGGAACACCGGUGGCGAAGGCGGCCUGCUGGACUGCAACUGACGUUGAGGCCCGAAAGCGUGGGGAGCAAACAGGAUUAGAUACCCCAGUAGUC